UCAAGCGCAAGUUAAGGGCAUUCGGUGGAUGCCUUGGCACCGAGAGGCGAUGAAGGACGUGGCACUCUGCGAUAAGCUACGGGGAGGCGAGAGCAGCCUUUGAUCCGUGGAUGUCCGAAUGGGGAAACCCGGCCCUUUAGGGUCAUCUCCGCAAGGAGAGGCGAACCCGGCGAACUGAAACAUCUCAGUAGCCGGAGGAAAGGAAAUCAAACGAGACUCCGCUAGUAGUGGCGAGCGAACGCGGACUAGCCCAGUGGCCACUUGAAGAUGUACCGGAAGCGUCUGGAAAGUCGCGCCAGAGCGGGUGACAGCCCCGUACGGGAAGCAGCUUCUUGUGGUCCUCGAGUAGGGCGGGACACGUGAAAUCCUGUCUGAACAUGGGGGGACCACCCUCCAAGGCUAAGUACUCCUCGGUGACCGAUAGUGGACGAGUACCGUGAGGGAAAGGUGAAAAGCACCCCGACGAGGGGAGUGAAAUAGAUCCUGAAACCGGAUGUCUACAAGCAGUGGAAGCCCGCGAGGGCGACCGCGUACCUUUUGUAUAAUGGGUCAGCGAGUUGAUCUUUCAGGCAAGCUUAAGCCGCUAGGUGUAGGCGCAGCGAAAGCGAGUCUGAAUAGGGCGUCUAAGUCUGAAGGAUCAGACCCGAAACCGGGUGAUCUAGCCAUGGGCAGGCUGAAGGUGGGGUAACACCCACUGGAGGGCCGAACCCACGUCUGUUGAAAAAGACGGGGAUGACCUGUGGCUAGGGGUGAAAGGCCAAUCAAACCCGGAGAUAGCUGGUUCUCCGCGAAAGCUAUUUAGGUAGCGCGUCAGGUAUCGCCCUCGGGGGUAGAGCACUGGAUGGGCUAGGGGGGCGCGAGCCUUACCAAACCUAACCAAACUCCGAAUACCGAGGAGCGUCGAGCCUGGCAGACAGACGGCGGGUGCUAAGGUCCGUCGUCGAGAGGGAAACAGCCCAGACCGCCAGCUAAGGUCCCCAAAUCAUGGCUAAGUGGGAAAGGAUGUGGGAAGGCCAAGACAACCAGGAGGUUGGCUUAGAAGCAGCCAUCCUUUGAAGAAAGCGUAAUAGCUCACUGGUCUAGUUAAGCCGUCCUGCGCCGAAAAUGUACCGGGGCUCAAGCCAUGUACCGAAGCUGCGGAUCCGAGCUUGCUCGGAUGGUAGCGGAGCGUUGCCUAGGCCGGUGAAGCCGGACCCGCGAGGGCCGGUGGAGGUAUGGCAAGUGCGAAUGCUGACAUGAGUAGCGACAAAGCGGGUGAGAAACCCGCUCGCCGCAAGUCCAAGGGUUCCUGCGCAAGGCUAAUCCGCGCAGGGUGAGCCGGCCCCUAAGCCGAGGGCGAAGGCCGUAGGCGAUGGGAACCAGGUCAAGAUUCCUGGGCCCGCGGGUGGUGACGGAUGGCAGGUGUCGUACGGGCUUAUCGGAUUGCCCGUGCGGCUGAGCCGUUCCAGGAAACAGCCCCCGCAAAUGGACCGUACCCUAAACCGACACAGGUGGACUGGUAGAGUAUACCGAGGCGCUUGAGAGAACUGUGCUGAAGGAACUCGGCAAAUUACCCGCGUAACUUCGGGAGAAGCGGGCCCCGUUUCUGGGCAACCAGGGGCGGGGGGCACAGACCAGGGGG
This 1621-nucleotide ribosomal RNA is filed under the name Tistlia consotensis. RNAcentral's name for it is "bacterial LSU rRNA". It matches the Rfam family "Bacterial large subunit ribosomal RNA", at positions 1 to 1793 of the family's 2925-position model. Lineage: Bacteria; Pseudomonadati; Pseudomonadota; Alphaproteobacteria; Rhodospirillales; Rhodovibrionaceae. The record is from RNAcentral.